UGGGGAAUAUUGCACAAUGGGCGCAAGCCUGAUGCAGCCAUGCCGCGUGUAUGAAGAAGGCCUUCGGGUUGUAAAGUACUUUCAGCGGGGAGGAAGGCGAUAAGGUUAAUAACCUUGUCGAUUGACGUUACCCGCAGAAGAAGCACCGGCUAACUACGUGCCAGCAGCCGCGGUAAUACGGAGGGUGCAAGCGUUAAUCGGAAUUACUGGGCGUAAAGCGCACGCAGGCGGUCUGUCAAGUCGGAUGUGAAAUCCCCGGGCUCAACCUGGGAACUGCAUUCGAAACUGGCAGGCUAGAGUCUUGUAGAGGGGGGUAGAAUUCCAGGUGUAGCGGUGAAAUGCGUAGAGAUCUGGAGGAAUACCGGUGGCGAAGGCGACCCCCUGGACAAAGACUGACGCUCAGGUGCGAAAGCGUGGGGAGCAAACA
Molecule: ribosomal RNA, 427 nt
Filed under: uncultured bacterium
Lineage: Bacteria
Description: partial 16S ribosomal RNA
Rfam family: Bacterial small subunit ribosomal RNA
Source: RNAcentral